CAAAAAUGUACAAAUCGAAACGUACACAUUUUUUUGUAUUACAAAUAUAUUAACGCACAAAAUCUUUACCAUCUAAACUAAACCUAAGCUGUUUAGACAUUACUAGAACCUGUAUGUUUAAUCAUAACAAUAAUCUAAUAGUACUUAAGAUAUUGACGGACAUGAGUAGAAGGCCUCGGCUAGUGGUCCUGGUUAAGCAUAUAUGUUUUAUCUGUCACAUGCAUCUCAGCGAACGUACCCGAAUCUUUUAGUCAUAAAGAUAAAUAAUUGGUUAAUUUCCAAAAAAAGACACCAGGUAAAUUGUAAACGGAAGUUUUUCCAGCUUUAAUUCAGAACUCGCAUGUUUGUCGGCCAAUAAUGUAACUGAGAAAGUUUGAAAACUUCCGCACGUGACUUCCGCGACUAUUGUCGAUCGGCCUGAUGAUCCCAGUGGCAAUUGAAGGGGCUCUUGUCCAACUCGGCUGUCAGCCUGAGGAGUUAACGAUUGCAGCGGUAAUUGGAGCCAAGUCAGCCAGCCCGUCGAGGCGUAGGUGAUUAAAAGGCGAUUAUUUCAAUUUUAGCCCGAGAAAUAAUGAUGCCAGUAGACGGUUGGACGGAAGAUGCUGCCCAGGUAGGAUUUGUGCUCGAAGAAAAAGCAGCCACCUGUCAACGAAUUCGACGUAGCUGUUAUGUUAAUGCGCCAAAACCGUUGACAUUUAUUGGCAGUUAUUUAUGGCGGACACUUCGCGCGGACUCUUGGCGGACACCAUUUUGGGACCUGGCCAUUUUGGUGGCCAGCACUGCCCGACUAUGGAAAAUUCUAUAAUUGUGCAGGUGACAACGCGAGUGGCACGCGCUGCUGACGCUGAUUAGAGGCAGUUUCACCUGCAGCUGCACUCGCAGCUGUGGCAGAUACUUCAUCUCGAGUCACGCUCGAUUGUGCGCUGGCAUAUGGCCAUAAAGAUAUUAUUAAUUAUGACAAUAUUGGAGUAUAGGUGUAAGCAUCGAGGCUCAGUCCUGAAAAGGAGAGGCGCGAAACUCCCUCGAGGAUAUUACAUUGUGAUGCGACAGAUCUUAAAAUACAUAUCGCGAUUGCAGCGAGAUCUACGAUGUUGAGUUGCUUGACUAAUGAGUUUAUUAGUGGUUAUAUGGUCUGAUGUAGAGCAGUCGGCCAGGCUUAUUCAAAUGAAAUCGACUUUCCUGUUCUGGAUCGAGGCGAUCUUCCUAGAAAUAUCGAUAUCAAGGCACGUGUCAUCUCCUGACUAUCUGAUGAGAUGCCCAUGUAUGUUGGGUGUUCGAUUUGUCACAGCGACCAAAAUGGGGCAUUCAAUGCUGGUCUAGUCGGCAAUGGGCUUGUGAAAAUAUUUCACGGCAUAGUCGGGGAUCGGUGUGUAUUCGAUGGGGGAUACCCAUUGUAUUUUCUCAAGCUCCGAAUAUAAUGAUAUUAUUCAAUGGGUUCCUAAAAUCAAGAAUCAGAAUACAUAAGUUUUUGUUAUUGCUUUUUAUCUUACAUUUACAUUUAAAAAUCUGAUUGAAACUGUUAUAAAGUGAUUACAUC
This is a long non-coding RNA of Drosophila santomea, 1537 nucleotides long. RefSeq lists it as uncharacterized. The record is from RefSeq and is a predicted model, not a curated record. NCBI's taxonomy places the organism in Eukaryota, Metazoa, Arthropoda, Insecta, Diptera, Drosophilidae. The transcript is spliced from 4 exons.